AUCAGAAGUAUGAAAAAUAGAUCGGACAGCCUCAAGUCAAAGGUCUCUGCUCAACAAGACAUGAGGAUGUGCCUCCUUAGGGUAGCACAUGGGGCAGUGAAACACUAAAUGAAAUCAUCCUCUACAACACUCACAUUACACAAAUCAGACUGCUCCUCUGGAAUAACCUUAUAUCUACCUACCUGAAUUACCAGUGUUGCCUUUGAUUAAGCCUUUCGGAGCAGCUAUAAACACAUUUGAUUUCCGACAUUGUUGGACAUUACAUCGUAAGAACCAGUUCUGAGCGGCCAUAAAUCAUCAUAAAACAGCUGUCAGCAAGUGUCCUGACUCCUUGUAGGAAACAGAAGGUUUGUUUUCCUUUUCUACUGCGGAAGAACUAAACCAUUUCAGUAAUAGUUACGGGCAAUGAGCCAUUGUUGGAUGUUUACAUUUUUCAAAAUAAGGACCAAAAUAUUAUUUUCUACCUUUUUUUUCUGCUGUGCAAAGAAGUACCAAACCCUGACCCCAAAACCGAGGUGCAUACCGAACUGUGAAUGUUGUGAUCCCAAAUUACAAAACACUGUGGCACCUUCAGGACAUACUGAAAUAUUUACUUUUGUGCAUAUAUUUUUAUGUCUUAAAAAUAUGUGAUUCUCCCUUUAUGUGAUGUAACAAAGCCAAAUGUAAGUAGAUUUUGGAUACAAAGAUAUAAAUAUGUAUUACAUGCUGUAUAUUGUAUUCUCUAGGGUAAUGAAAAUUCAAUGAAUCUGGACUCUGUGCUUAAAGAAGAGACCACACACAUGCAUAAAAAUGACAACAUAAAGAUAUGCAGAAACCAUGGGUUCAGUGUUGGGUCACUUGGUGUUGCUUUGGAUGGAAAGUCUGGUGUAUUUACUGAGUAUUAGUGAUGGUUUCUCUGCCAAAAUAGGCUUUUGCUUUCUUCUGCUUUCUUCUGUGUGUGUGUUGUGUGCAAUUCUAUCUGUUCUGGCUUUUUGUCUGAAUCUGUACAUUUGCCAACAGCAGUGAUUACAUCACUGUCACACACAAAUGAACAAACGCAGCUAUGUAGAUGACCUGAUUAAAAGCAUCAUACUCUGUAUACCUUUCUUUUUUCAUGUAGCAAAUAAAGCCUAUGAAGAGUUAAACCCUGCUGGAUUUGUCAUAAAGCUCCUGUUGUCUGCUGCUGUAGGAUUAACUUACCUCACAGACAUCAUAGGCUCCCAUUAUUUUCAAAAAUCCCUAAAACAGCUCAGACAGAGUGUUGCAGUGUCCUAACAUAACAAAUCAUGUUGGACAGUGUGUGCAUUACAGCUUUCCUAACGUAGACUCACUCAUACUUUUUGUUCUGAGUGAAACACUUUUUAGUUUUUUCUCAUUUCAAACUACAGCUUCAUAUGCCUGAUAACAAUGACAUUGAAAGAAGAAUGGAGAAUAGUGUUAUAGCUGGAGACACUAAGUGAUUUCUUUACAUUUAUUUCUAGUCAAAUAAAAAAACUUCAACGACUGUAACUGUGGCGUUAAGAAGCAAUAAGACAAAGAAGUUGUCAGAGUUAUCUGAUUUACAGUGAUGGAUUAUGUUUGUCAAGGAAGCUGAACUGAAUGUCGCUGAGUGGUUCCAAAUAGACUUUCUGAAAAAAAUCAUGGACAUUAACAGCGAUAGAAGAAUACAAAUAUACACUAGUGUUGCCCUUCAAGAUAUUGACCCUUUGAGUUCUAAGAUAUUUAAGCCAUUAUUGCCAUAGCUACAGCCUCUGUGUCUGAGCAAACCUUUAUGAUAGUCACUGGGAAAAAAUGUCUGCCGGUAGAUUUUUUUUUUCAUUUGCUACUUGAAAGAUUUUCAUUUUCUGUGGAAUAGGCACACAUAGAAACUUUGUAGUGGAUCAUAUUUUAAUUACAGAUAUGCCAUUUUUUCUAGACAUUGGAUAAUGUGUAACUGUUUUUUCAAUUUUUGAAGUAGUUAUGGGGUUGUUAAACAACAUUACUGCAACAAAAAACUUCAUUUGAAGAAGGCAGCCUUUUUUAUGAAUGACUUUGCUGAGUUCUGUAAAUCUAGCACCAGGUUAUGUGUUAUUUGUUUUUUGUUGUUUGCCACUUGGGGGCAGCGUAAA
Molecule: long non-coding RNA, 2087 nt
Organism: Thunnus maccoyii (southern bluefin tuna)
Lineage: Eukaryota; Metazoa; Chordata; Actinopteri; Scombriformes; Scombridae
Exons: 3
Source: RefSeq, a predicted model, not a curated record